GUACUUGGGUCCUUGGGGGUUAGUCAUUCCACUAUCCAAUUUCCAUAUGCUACCAUAUCCAAGAUGCAAUUUUCUAAUAGAGCACUUAUAGUUGGUGUGACCAAACUUGCCACAAUAGUGACAAUGACCAUUGAACCUUCUUACUCUAGGUCCAUAGGUGAGUGAGUGUGUUUGAGUUCUCAUGUGGCCAUUUCUCCUUUGCUUAUUAAAAGCAUGUGAGCAAGAGAUAUGAUUGGAGUGGUGAUUUUGUG
Molecule: long non-coding RNA, 251 nt
Filed under: Manihot esculenta (cassava)
Lineage: Eukaryota; Viridiplantae; Streptophyta; Magnoliopsida; Malpighiales; Euphorbiaceae
Description: long non-coding RNA (MESC_LNC002835)
Source: RNAcentral